This is a non-coding RNA of Stegodyphus mimosarum, 46 nucleotides long. NCBI's taxonomy places the organism in Eukaryota, Metazoa, Arthropoda, Arachnida, Araneae, Eresidae. The record is from Rfam.
AAAACAGCUCUUUUCAGAGCCACACACUUCUUUCAAUGAGUUGUGU